UACGGAGGGUGCGAGCGUUAUUCGGAAUUACUGGGCGUAAAGGGCGUGUAGGCGGCCUUGUAAGUCAGAUGUGAAAGCCCACGGCUUAACCGUGGAACUGCAUUUGAAACUGCUUGGCUAGAGUACGGGAGAGGGUGGCGGAAUUCCCGGUGUAGGAGUGAAAUCCGUAGAUAUCGGGAGGAACACCAGUGGCGAAGGCGGCCGCCUGGACUGUAACUGACGCUGAGGCGCGAAAGCGAGGGGAGCAAACAGGAUUAGAUACCCCUGUAGUCC
This 273-nucleotide ribosomal RNA is filed under the name uncultured bacterium. Its description in RNAcentral is "partial 16S ribosomal RNA". It matches the Rfam family "Bacterial small subunit ribosomal RNA", at positions 524 to 796 of the family's 1533-position model. The record is from RNAcentral.